GACGAACGCUGGCGGCGUGCUUAACACAUGCAAGUCGAACGGAAAGGCCCUGCUUUUGUGGGGUGCUCGAGUGGCGAACGGGUGAGUAACACGUGAGUAACCUGCCCUUGACUUUGGGAUAACUUCAGGAAACUGGGGCUAAUACCGGAUAGGAGCUCCUGCUGCAUGGUGGGGGUUGGAAAGUUUCGGCGGUUGGGGAUGGACUCGCGGCUUAUCAGCUUGUUGGUGGGGUAGUGGCUUACCAAGGCUUUGACGGGUAGCCGGCCUGAGAGGGUGACCGGCCACAUUGGGACUGAGCUACGGCCCAGACUCCUCCGGGCGGCAGCCGUCGGGUGUGUUGCCCAAUGGGCGGAAGCCUGAUGCCGCAACGCCGCGUGCGGGGUGACGGCCUUCGGGUUGUGAACCGCUUUCGCCUGUGCCGAAGCGUGAGUGCCGGUCCUGGGUAGAGAAGCACCGGCUAACUCCGUG
Molecule: ribosomal RNA, 468 nt
Filed under: uncultured bacterium
Lineage: Bacteria
Description: partial 16S ribosomal RNA
Rfam family: Bacterial small subunit ribosomal RNA
Source: RNAcentral